This 498-nucleotide ribosomal RNA is filed under the name uncultured bacterium. RNAcentral's name for it is "partial 16S ribosomal RNA". It matches the Rfam family "Bacterial small subunit ribosomal RNA", at positions 29 to 507 of the family's 1533-position model. The record is from RNAcentral.
AGCGAACGCUGGCGGCGUGCCUAACACAUGCAAGUCGAACGUGAAAAGGGAAACCUGAGUAAAGUGGCGUACGGGUGAGUAACGCGUAGGUAAUCUACCCCAGAAUCUGGAAUAACCUGCCGAAAGGCGGGCUAAUACUGGAUAGAGCGAGGGAACUCGUAAGAGAGUUUUUCGGGAAAGGGAGCCCGCAAGGGCCUUCGUUCUGGGAUGAGCCUGCGUCUCAUUAGCUAGUUGGUAAGGUAACGGCUUACCAAGGCGAUGAUGAGUAGCUGGUCUGAGAGGAUGAUCAGCCACACUGGCACUGAAACACGGUCCAGACUCCUACGGGAGGCAGCAGUGGGGAAUCUUGCGCAAUGGACGAAAGUCUGACGCAGCCACGCCGCGUGAGUGAAGAAGGCCUUCGGGUUGUAAAGCUCUGUCGGAUGGGACGAACAUCUUCAUAGUGAAUAGCUAUGAGGACUGACGGUACCAUCAAAGGAAGCACCGGCUAACUCCGUG